This 688-nucleotide ribosomal RNA is filed under the name Polymorphospora sp. YIM 69700. Its description in RNAcentral is "bacterial SSU rRNA". It matches the Rfam family "Bacterial small subunit ribosomal RNA", at positions 54 to 761 of the family's 1533-position model. Lineage: Bacteria; Bacillati; Actinomycetota; Actinomycetes; Micromonosporales; Micromonosporaceae. The record is from RNAcentral.
CAUGCAGUCGAGCGGAAGGCCCUUCGGGGUACUCGAGCGGCGAACGGGUGAGUAACACGUGAGUAACCUGCCCCAGGCUUUGGGAUAACCCUCGGAAACGGGGGCUAAUACCGGAUAUGACUUCUGACCGCAUGGUUGGGGGUGGAAAGUUUUUCGGCUUGGGAUGGGCUCGCGGCCUAUCAGCUUGUUGGUGGGGUGAUGGCCUACCAAGGCGACGACGGGUAGCCGGCCUGAGAGGGCGACCGGCCACACUGGGACUGAGACACGGCCCAGACUCCUACGGGAGGCAGCAGUGGGGAAUAUUGCACAAUGGGCGAAAGCCUGAUGCAGCGACGCCGCGUGAGGGAUGACGGCCUUCGGGUUGUAAACCUCUUUCAGCAGGGACGAAGCGCAAGUGACGGUACCUGCAGAAGAAGCGCCGGCCAACUACGUGCCAGCAGCCGCGGUAAGACGUAGGGCGCGAGCGUUGUCCGGAUUUAUUGGGCGUAAAGAGCUCGUAGGCGGCUUGUCGCGUCGACUGUGAAAACCCGCAGCUCAACUGCGGGCUUGCAGCCGAUACGGGCAGGCUAGAGUUCGGUAGGGGAGACUGGAAUUCCUGGUGUAGCGGUGAAAUGCGCAGAUAUCAGGAGGAACACCGGUGGCGAAGGCGGGUCUCUGGGCCGAUACUUGACGCUGAGGAGCGAAAGCG